Molecule: transfer RNA, 104 nt
Rfam family: tRNA
About the family: Transfer RNA (tRNA) molecules are approximately 80 nucleotides in length. Their secondary structure includes four short double-helical elements and three loops (D, anti-codon, and T loops).
Source: Rfam
GGCCAUAUGGCGCAAUGGUAGCGCGUUGCUCUCCUACUGCGCGGUAGACAGCUACCAGCAGUUCAGUAAAGCAGAGGUUGCAGAUUCGAGUUCUGCUAUGGUCG